CUACGGGGGGCUGCAGUGAGGAAUUUUGCGCAAUGGGGGAAACCCUGACGCAGCAACGCCGCGUGAGUGAAGAAGGCCUUCGGGUCGUAAAGCUCUGUCAGAUGGGAAAAAAUUACUGUGGUUAAUAGCCACGGUGCCUGAUGUUACCAUCAGAGGAAGCACCGGCUAACUCCGUGCCAGCAGCCGCGGUAAGACGGAGGGUGCAAGCGUUGUUCGGAAUUACUGGGCGUAAAGAGCGUGUAGGCGGUAUGGUAAGUCAGAUGUGAAAGCCCUGGGCUCAACCCAGGAAGUGCAUUUGAUACUGCCAGUCUUGAGUAUGGGAGAGGGGAGUGGAAUUCCCAGUGUAGAGGUGAAAUUCGUAGAUAUUGGGAGGAACACCCGUGGCGAAGGCGACUCUCUGGACCAAUACUGACGCUGAGACGCGAAAGCGUGGGGAGCAAACAGGAUUAGAUACCCCUGUAGUC
This 464-nucleotide ribosomal RNA is filed under the name uncultured bacterium. RNAcentral's name for it is "partial 16S ribosomal RNA". It matches the Rfam family "Bacterial small subunit ribosomal RNA", at positions 339 to 795 of the family's 1533-position model. The record is from RNAcentral.